Molecule: ribosomal RNA, 289 nt
Filed under: uncultured bacterium
Lineage: Bacteria
Description: partial 16S ribosomal RNA
Rfam family: Bacterial small subunit ribosomal RNA
Source: RNAcentral
UGGCCCUACGGGGGGCAGCAGUGAGGAAUAUUGGUCAAUGGGCGGGAGCCUGAACCAGCCAAGUCGCGUGAGGGAAGACGGUCCUACGGAUUGUAAACCUCUUUUGCCGGGGAGCAACGGGGUCCUUGCGAGGUCCCAAUGAGAGUACCCGGAGAAAAAGCAUCGGCUAACUCCGUGCCAGCAGCCGCGGUAAUACGGAGGAUGCGAGCGUUAUCAGGAUUUAUUGGGUUUAAAGGGUGCGUAGGCGGGCUGUUAAGGCAGCGGUCAAAUGCCGGGGCUCAACCCCGGC